This 688-nucleotide ribosomal RNA is filed under the name uncultured bacterium. RNAcentral's name for it is "bacterial SSU rRNA". It matches the Rfam family "Bacterial small subunit ribosomal RNA", at positions 259 to 944 of the family's 1533-position model. The record is from RNAcentral.
AAAGGCCUACCAAGCCAACGAUCUGUAGCUGGUCUGAGAGGACGACCAGCCACACUGGAACUGAGACACGGUCCAGACUCCUACGGGAGGCAGCAGUGGGGAAUUUUGGACAAUGGGCGAAAGCCUGAUCCAGCCAUUCCGCGUGCAGGAUGAAGGCCCUCGGGUUGUAAACUGCUUUUGUACAGAACGAAAAAGUUUCUAUUAAUACUAGGAGCUCAUGACGGUACUGUAAGAAUAAGCACCGGCUAACUACGUGCCAGCAGCCGCGGUAAUACGUAGGGUGCAAGCGUUAAUCGGAAUUACUGGGCGUAAAGCGUGCGCAGGCGGUUAUAUAAGUCAGAUGUGAAAUCCCCGGGCUCAACCUGGGAACUGCAUUUGAGACUGUAUAGCUAGAGUACGGUAGAGGGGGAUGGAAUUCCGCGUGUAGCAGUGAAAUGCGUAGAUAUGCGGAGGAACACCGAUGGCGAAGGCAAUCCCCUGGACCUGUACUGACGCUCAUGCACGAAAGCGUGGGGAGCAAACAGGAUUAGAUACCCUGGUAGUCCACGCCCUAAACGAUGUCAACUGGUUGUUGGGUCUUAACUGACUCAGUAACGAAGCUAACGCGUGAAGUUGACCGCCUGGGNGUACGGCCGCAAGGUUGAAACUCAAGGAAUUGACGGGACCCGCACAGCGGUGGAUGAUGUGG